This 391-nucleotide unclassified non-coding RNA is filed under the name Bombus terrestris (buff-tailed bumblebee). RNAcentral's name for it is "misc RNA ENSBTSG00005026132.1". The record is from RNAcentral. Lineage: Eukaryota; Metazoa; Arthropoda; Insecta; Hymenoptera; Apidae.
UACCUCGAAUGACUCGACGCUCAAGAUAGAGAAGGUUUAAUAGAUCGAGUGUUAGAAUAAUCUAGCACUGUAUUUGCACUUGUUGUAUAAAAAUAAAGUGUGAUGUUAUGAACACGGCGGUGGUAAGAUCUUGUUGGAAGUGAAGUAUUUCAUCCGCACCGUACGAUGUCUGAUGAUGAACUGUCCUCCUAUGUUGCUGAUUCUCCCUACCAGCCGAUCGGUUUCGAAAGGAUAAUUUAUCGUGCCUGCAAAGCAAGCCGAGACAGCGGUGGUUCAGCAAUAACCGGUUCGUCAUUAGUGGGAUCUUCUCAAACGUGCUUUAUCAUCGAUUAAGACCUGAACUCGCGCGUUAAGCCCACCCACGUGUUAUUUAUUGGUACGUAUGUUAUCC